RNAcentral lists this long non-coding RNA (1047 nucleotides) under Equus caballus (horse). Its description in RNAcentral is "lncRNA (ENSECAG00000032686.3)". Lineage: Eukaryota; Metazoa; Chordata; Mammalia; Perissodactyla; Equidae. The record is from RNAcentral.
UGACGGGGAGAGUUUAUAGGCCUGGGUAAGCUGGGUAAGGCGGGGCCUAGUGGACGGUGAGGAAGGCUGUGGGGUCUGUGGGCCAGAGGUUUCCAGGAAGCUGAAGGCUGUGGGUGCAGAGGCGUUAGAGGGAGGGAGCUGGACGAACAGGGCAUGGCCUUGAGGUGAUGAGAGAACAGAAUGUUAGAAAUGGGCAUCCAGGAGGGGCGCGGUCUUUCCUGAUGCCCAGGGAAUGACCCUGCGCUGGGGGAUGCUCGGAUGGGGAGGAGGAGAACAUCCUUGAGGACGGAGAGGCUCCGGUGGACCAGGUUUUCUAUACUCAGGGGGAGUGACUUCUACAAUGAGAGAACACAUUUUACCAGAUAUAAAACCCAGGUCCAUAAACCCAGGACAACCUAGGGAGAGACCAUGACAAGACGAUUCGGAGAAGCACAAAUACAAGAUGCUAAGGAACCUAAGCAGCUCCGCAGGAGAAAGGCCAACUGGAAAAGCAAAAGGGCCUUGUCGCCAGGCAGGGAAUUUUCCGAAGGGGGCGAGCUGAAGGCAGCAGCCCGCCCGAGAGGGGCCCAGCCGGCGCAGACGCAGAAAGAAGCCGCCUCUUUAGCGGAGAAGUCUCAGACCAGUUUUUUCAAGCACGAAGGGCGGGGCAAGAGGGCGGCUGUUCGGCUGCACGGCGCAACACUGCCACCUGCAGACCAGAGAAACCCAACGCCACCAACCCCAGCGAAAACUCCAUCUUUUCCGUGGUCGUUCGGCGCAACGACCUGGAGCUCGUGGCUCAGGAAGGCCGGCGGGAGGGAGAUGAGGACCACGGAAAGGAAGAGAAGCGGCCAGAGCGGCCCCGGCAACCGGGCUGGGGCACCGCCGCCUUCCCGCUCGCUGCCCCGGCCCCGGCCCCGGCCCCGGCCCCGGCCCGCAACCGUAGCCACAGCGGCAGGAAGUCCCUGUGCCCAGGAAGGAGGGUCCCGGGGGCGCGGCUGCGCCCCGACAGCCGGGCUCUGGGCCGGCGCACGGGCGCCCCGAGAGGCGGCUGUCAGUCUCCCUGCC